RNAcentral lists this ribosomal RNA (434 nucleotides) under uncultured bacterium. Its description in RNAcentral is "partial 16S ribosomal RNA". It matches the Rfam family "Bacterial small subunit ribosomal RNA", at positions 29 to 507 of the family's 1533-position model. The record is from RNAcentral.
AGCGAACGCUGGUGGCAGGCCUAACACAUGCAAGUCGAACGAACCUUUCGGGGUUAGUGGCGGACGGGUGAGUAACACGUGGGAACGUGCCUUUAGGUUCGGAAUAACUCAGGGAAACUUGUGCUAAUACCGAAUGUGCCCUUCGGGGGAAAGAUUUAUCGCCUUUAGAGCGGCCCGCGUCUGAUUAGCUAGUUGGUUGAGGUAAUGGCUCACCAAGGCGACGAUCAGUAGCUGGUCUGAGAGGAUGAUCAGCCACAUUGGGACUGAGACACGGCCCAAACUCCUACGGGAAGCAGCAGUGGGGAAUCUUGCGCAAUGGGCGAAAGCCUGACGCAGCCAUGCCGCGUGAAUGAUGAAGGUCUUAGGAUUGUAAAAUUCUUUCACCGGGGACGAUAAUGACGGUACCCGGAGAAGAAGCCCCGGCUAACUUCGUG